GUACUCCCUUUGGCGGCACGUAUAAAAUUGGGAUAAUGCAGAGAAGACAAGCAUGGCUCCUGUACGAGGAUGACACACAAAUUCAUGAAAUGCUCCAUAUCAGA
Cebus imitator (Panamanian white-faced capuchin) is the source of this 104-nucleotide small nuclear RNA. NCBI's taxonomy places the organism in Eukaryota, Metazoa, Chordata, Mammalia, Primates, Cebidae. The record is from Ensembl.